Non-coding RNA from Capsicum annuum, 107 nucleotides. NCBI's taxonomy places the organism in Eukaryota, Viridiplantae, Streptophyta, Magnoliopsida, Solanales, Solanaceae. The record is from Rfam.
UGUUGGUGAUGAGGAUAAUCUGUGAUAAAACCUUUGAAUCUCUCCCACGCUUGGUAUAAAUUCUCACCAGGCUUAUUCUUAAAGCUUAAUAUUUCACUUCUCAUCCU